GACGAACGCUGGCGGCGUGCUUAACACAUGCAAGUCGAACGGAAAGGCUCCAGCUUGCUGGAGUACUCGAGUGGCGAACGGGUGAGUAACACGUGGGUAAUCUGCCCUGCACUCUGGGAUAAGCCUGGGAAACUGGGUCUAAUACUGGAUAUGACCUUUCUCCUUAUGGGGUUUGGUGGAAAGUUUUUCGGUGUAGGAUGAGCCCGCGGCCUAUCAGCUUGUUGGUGGGGUGAUGGCCUACCAAGGCGACGACGGGUAGCCGGCCUGAGAGGGUGAUCGGCACAUUUGGGAAGGAGAAACGGCCCAAAUCCCAAGGGGGGGCAGGGUGGGGGAAAAUGGCAAAAGGGGCGGAACCCUGAUGCAGCGAGCCCGGGUGGGGGAUGACGGCCUUCGGGUGGGAACCUGCUUUCAGGGGGGACGAAGCGUAAGGGACGGUCCCGGAAGAAGAAGCACCGGCUAACUAUGU
Molecule: ribosomal RNA, 466 nt
Filed under: uncultured bacterium
Lineage: Bacteria
Description: partial 16S ribosomal RNA
Rfam family: Bacterial small subunit ribosomal RNA
Source: RNAcentral